RNAcentral lists this long non-coding RNA (552 nucleotides) under Homo sapiens (human). RNAcentral describes it as "non-protein coding LINC02109:44". Lineage: Eukaryota; Metazoa; Chordata; Mammalia; Primates; Hominidae. The record is from RNAcentral.
UGUCACUAUAGGUUGGUAUGUACCCAAUUGUGACUAAACCAAAAGAAACAAAUCUGGAAACUGAAGUAUCAAUACGUGAAAAGCGUUCUUUUGGUAUUGGGAGUGCCAGUUGUCUUUGUUUCAUGAACUACUUCUCCGUAAUAGCAUGCAGCCAUCUUCAAGAGGUGAGAAUUUCACUUAGCGACUUAAACAGAAGUGUUAUCUCAAGAUAAUAUAAUAUCUGGAGGUAAAACAGCAUCCCCAGGAUAAACAGGUUUAACUUGCACAUACCAGAAGCUUGGCUUAGUGACCCUCAAAGGAGUUUUCACUUCCUCCAAAGUCCUAUAUGUGGUCGCCUCCGAUAUCUGCCGUAUACAACUGUCUCCUGGUGACCACCUCCCUGUGAGACAGCAGAUACAACCUACCCCUCUGGCCUUCUCACCUCUCGUGGACUGUGUAGAUGCUGCAGUGGCCCCUGCUCAGUUACAGUGUGACUAUUGGACUUGUUCCUGCUUGCUAUAAGCCCACUGUAUUAGUCCAUUCUCACGCUGCUAAUAAAAACGUACCUGAAAC